UAUGCUUAACACAUGCAAGUCGAACGGCAGCACGAGAGAGCUUGCUCUCUUGGUGGCGAGUGGCGGACGGGUGAGUAACGCGUAAGAAUCUGCCUAGUAGUGGGGGAUAACUCGGGGAAACUCGAGCUAAUACCGCAUACGCCCUACGGGGGAAAGUGGGGGACCUUCGGGCCUCACGCUAUUAGAUGAGCUUGCGUUGGAUUAGCUAGUUGGUGAGGUAAUGGCUCACCAAGGCGACGAUCCAUAGCUGGUCUGAGAGGACGAUCAGCCACACUGGGACUGAGACACGGCCCAGACUCCUACGGGAGGCAGCAGUGGGGAAUAUUGGACAAUGGGCGCAAGCCUGAUCCAGCAAUACCGCGUGUGUGAAGAAGGCCUGCGGGUUGUAAAGCACUUUCAAUUGUGAAGAAAAGCUUGGGGUUAAUAGCCCCGAGUCUUGACGUUAACUUUAGAAGAAGCACCGGCUAACUCUGUGCCAGCAGCCGCGGUAAUACAGAGGGUGCGAGCGUUAAUCGGAAUUACUGGGCGUAAAGCGUGCGUAGGCGGUUUAGUAAGUCAGAUGUGAAAGCCCUGGGCUUAACCUGGGAACUGCAUUUGAAACUGCUGAACUAGAGUGUGGUAGAGGGAAGUGGAAUUCCGGGUGUAGCGGUGAAAUGCGUAGAUAUCCGGAGGAACACCAGUGGCGAAGGCGACUUCCUGGACCAACACUGACGCUGAGGUACGAAAGCGUGGGUAGCAAACAGGAUUAGAUACCCUGGUAGUCCACGCCGUAAACGAUGUCAACUAGUUGUUGGGAGCAUUCUGGCUUUUAGUAACGUAGCUAACGCGAUAAGUUGACCGCCUGGGGAGUACGGCCGCAAGGUUAAAACUCAAAGGAAUUGACGGGGGCCCGCACAAGCGGUGGAGCAUGUGGUUUAAUUCGAUGCAACGCGAAGAACCUUACCAGCCCUUGACAUCCUGCGAAC
This 965-nucleotide ribosomal RNA is filed under the name bacterium enrichment culture clone PAH9-P1. RNAcentral describes it as "bacterial SSU rRNA". It matches the Rfam family "Bacterial small subunit ribosomal RNA", at positions 43 to 996 of the family's 1533-position model. The record is from RNAcentral.